UAGUGACACAUUUCUCAGAAUGCAUCUCCAUUGUGAAGUGAUACAUGUGUCUAUGUGUGUGUAUAUAUGUGUGCGUGUGUAUAUAAAUGAAUAAAUGUAUAUGAAAGAAUGUCUGGACAUUUUCUAGCUAGGAAAUUGAACUUGACUCGAGAGUUCUUGGUUACUGUUCAAGGUGUCUUGAACCCAUACGGUGAGUAGUUACUGAGUGCUUCUCUGCACCUUGCACCAUGCUACUGCUGGAGGUUUAGUGGCACACAGGCACAGCUCUUGGCUUCAUGGGGCUUGUAGUCUUGGUGAAUAUGGUGAGAGCAAGACUUUAACCACAUAAGCAUGCUAAUAAAUAAUUAGAAGUUGUGACAUGUGCCCUGAAAAGAUAUAUUGUACUAUUAAGACAUGUGGCUGGGGAUCUGACUUAGGAUGGACGAUUGAGGAGAUAUUUCACUGAGAAAAUGACAUUUCACUUGACAUUAGAAAGAUUA
RNAcentral lists this long non-coding RNA (479 nucleotides) under Marmota monax (woodchuck). The record is from RNAcentral. Lineage: Eukaryota; Metazoa; Chordata; Mammalia; Rodentia; Sciuridae.